RNAcentral lists this ribosomal RNA (202 nucleotides) under Serratia marcescens. Its description in RNAcentral is "partial 16S ribosomal RNA". It matches the Rfam family "Bacterial small subunit ribosomal RNA", at positions 1 to 209 of the family's 1533-position model. The record is from RNAcentral. Lineage: Bacteria; Pseudomonadati; Pseudomonadota; Gammaproteobacteria; Enterobacterales; Yersiniaceae.
UUAAUUGAAGAGUUUGAUCAUGGCUCAGAUUGAACGCUGGCGGCAGGCUUAACACAUGCAAGUCGAGCGGUAGCACAGGGGAGCUUGCUCCCCGGGUGACGAGCGGCGGACGGGUGAGUAAUGUCUGGGAAACUGCCUGAUGGAGGGGGAUAACUACUGGAAACGGUAGCUAAUACCGCAUAACGUCGCAAGACCAAAGAGG